GCCAGUGUAGCAUAUUGGUUUGAGGGUUGGACUGGGACUCUGGAGACCAGGGUUCGAUUCCCCACUUGGCCA
Molecule: non-coding RNA, 72 nt
Organism: Phrynosoma platyrhinos (Desert horned lizard)
Lineage: Eukaryota; Metazoa; Chordata; Lepidosauria; Squamata; Phrynosomatidae
Source: the annotation of a GenBank genome assembly